AUACGUAGGUGGCAAGCGUUGUCCGGAAUUAUUGGGCGUAAAGCGCGCGCAGGCGGUCCUUUAAGUCUGAUGUGAAAGCCCACGGCUCAACCGAGGAGGGUCAUUGGAAACUGGAGGACUUGAGUGCAGAAGAGGAAAGUGGAAUUCCAAGUGUUGAGGUGAAACGCGUAGAGAUUUGGAGGAACACCAGUGGCGAAGGCGACUUUCUGGUCUGUAACUGACGCUGAGGCGCGAAAGCGUGGGGAGCAAACAGGAUUAGAUACCCUGGUAGUCCACGCCGUAAACGAUGAGUGCUAAGUGUUAGGGGGUUUCCGCCCCUUAGUGCUGCAGCUAACGCAUUAAGCACUCCGCCUGGGGAGUACGGUCGCAAGACUGAAACUCAAAUGAAUUGACGGGG
RNAcentral lists this ribosomal RNA (397 nucleotides) under uncultured bacterium. Its description in RNAcentral is "partial 16S ribosomal RNA". It matches the Rfam family "Bacterial small subunit ribosomal RNA", at positions 523 to 918 of the family's 1533-position model. The record is from RNAcentral.